CAGAGCAGAAGGUUCCCAACAGGCUGCGCCUGCGCUGGAGCACCCUCUUUCCUCCUUCCUUCAGCUGCCCCUCUUUCUGGAUGGGUAAAAGCACUUCCAUGUUUUCAGAGGCGUGGAGGGAGCCCGAGAAGAGCAGAUGUUGACACCACCAUCACUGCCUGCAGCAGUGAGACCAGGGGCACAGUUUUUGUUGAAAGGGUCGACCAGGAAGCACUUCCUUGACUCUGUCCUAAAGCCUCUGGAGAGCCCUUACAUUUGUGGUCCUUGAAGAUAUUGUAAAGGUAUUAUUCAGGAACAAGAUGGGCAAAACAUGAAUAGGACAAGCUUUCUGCUCUCCAGGGACUCCCUUGAAGAUGUGUCACAACCCCAAGCCAGUAUGGUGAGGACACA
Molecule: long non-coding RNA, 390 nt
Filed under: Pan troglodytes (chimpanzee)
Lineage: Eukaryota; Metazoa; Chordata; Mammalia; Primates; Hominidae
Description: long non-coding RNA NONPTRT010271
Source: RNAcentral